RNAcentral lists this ribosomal RNA (487 nucleotides) under uncultured bacterium. Its description in RNAcentral is "bacterial SSU rRNA". It matches the Rfam family "Bacterial small subunit ribosomal RNA", at positions 899 to 1397 of the family's 1533-position model. The record is from RNAcentral.
ACUCAAAUGAAUUGACGGGGGCCCGCACAAGCAGCGGAGCGUGUGGUUUAAUUCGAUGAUACGCGAAGAACCUCACCCAGGUUUGACAUGCAUGUGGUACUGAUGUGAAAGCUGAGGGACCCUUCGGGGAGCAUGCACAGGUGUUGCACGGCCGUCGUCAGCUCGUGCCGUGAGGUGUUGGGUUAAGUCCCGCAACGAGCGCAACCCCUGUCGCCAGUUGUAUUUUUCUGGCGAGACUGCCGAGAAAACCUCGGAGGAAGGAGGGGACGAUGUCAGGUCAGCGUGGCCCUUACGCCUGGGGCUACACACACGCUACAAUGGGCAGUACAACGGGUCGCGAAGCCGCGAGGUGGAGCCAAUCCCAUCAAAGCUGUCCUCAGUUCGGAUUGCAGGCUGAAACCCGCCUGCAUGAAGCCGGAGUUGCUAGUAACCGCAGGUCAGCAUUACUGCGGUGAAUACGUUCCCGGGCCUUGUACACACCGCCCGU